Molecule: ribosomal RNA, 253 nt
Filed under: uncultured bacterium
Lineage: Bacteria
Description: partial 16S ribosomal RNA
Rfam family: Bacterial small subunit ribosomal RNA
Source: RNAcentral
UACGAAGGGGGCUAGCGUUGUUCGGAUUUACUGGGCGUAAAGCGCACGUAGGCGGAUCGUUAAGUCAGGGGUGAAAUCCCGGAGCUCAACUCCGGAACUGCCUUUGAUACUGGCGAUCUUGAGGCUGGAAGAGGUUAGUGGAAUUCCGAGUGUAGAGGUGAAAUUCGUAGAUAUUCGGAAGAACACCAGUGGCGAAGGCGACUCGCUGGACAGGUAUUGACGCUGAGGUGCGAAAGCGUGGGGAGCAAACAGG